AAUAGAUACCCCGGUAGUCCAUGCCGUAAACGUUGGGCACUAGGUGUGGGGCUCAUUCCACGAGUUCCGUGCCGCAGCAAACGCAUUAAGUGCCCCGCCUGGGGAGUACGGCCGCAAGGCUAAAACUCAAAGAAAUUGACGGGGGCCCGCACAAGCGGCGGAGCAUGCGGAUUAAUUCGAUGCAACGCGAAGAACCUUACCAAGGCUUGACAUACACCGGAAAAGUGCAGAGAUGUGCUCCCCGUAAGGUCGGUGUACAGGUGGUGCAUGGUUGUCGUCAGCUCGUGUCGUGAGAUGUUGGGUUAAGUCCCGCAACGAGCGCAACCCUCGUCCCAUGUUGCCAGCGGGUUAUGCCGGGGACUCAUGGGAGACUGCCGGGGUCAACUCGGAGGAAGGUGGGGAUGACGUCAAAUCAUCAUGCCCCCUUAUGUCUUGGGCUUCACGCAUGCUACAAUGGCCGGUACAAAGGGCUGCGAUACCGCAAGGUGGAGCGAAUCCCAAAAAGCCGGUCUCAGUUCGGAUUGGGGUCUGCAACUCGACCCC
This 543-nucleotide ribosomal RNA is filed under the name uncultured bacterium. Its description in RNAcentral is "bacterial SSU rRNA". It matches the Rfam family "Bacterial small subunit ribosomal RNA", at positions 777 to 1319 of the family's 1533-position model. The record is from RNAcentral.